Molecule: unclassified non-coding RNA, 524 nt
Filed under: Pascua guehoae
Lineage: Eukaryota; Fungi; Basidiomycota; Tremellomycetes; Trichosporonales; Trichosporonaceae
Source: RNAcentral
GAAGGGGCUGUAGCAGUAGAGUAGCCUUGUUGCUACGAUCUGCUGAGGCUCAGCCUUUGUUCUACAGAUUUGUCCUUUUGGACUUCCUAUACCGUUAUGGUCAGGGGGGUUUCACUGAAUACCUCUAGCUGUAUAGAAAGUUUGACAGUUCAAGUCAUGUUGGGUAGUGCGUACGAGUACAAGUUCAGGUCUACAGACUGUGGUCACGUCUGGUGCAGGUCUACAGACCUGUGGUGAGGUCUAGUGCAGGUCUAGUACACGUCUGGUCAGGUAGGGUACGACUUCAAGAGUUUCGAGGAUGCAAGUUGGGGUGUUCGAGAUGGUGGUAGGGUGACUGGGGGGCUCUACAUCUACACUUAGCCGGGUCUACUGCAGUGCAAGUUCCAGAAAUGGAGCAUACACUGUGCUAGGCCCGGCUUUCGUGUCACUUUUUUCUGGGUCGAACCCCUCAAGUACGCUCUUUUACCUUAUAGAUAUCCACGGCCAUAGGACUGAGAAAAUACCGCAUGCCGUCCGAUCUGCAA